GACGAACGCUGGCGGCGUGCUUAAUACAUGCAAGUCGAACGGAAAGGCCCUGCUUUUGUGGGGUGCUCGAGUGGCGAACGGGUGAGUAUCACGUGAGUAACCUGCCCUUGACUGUGGGAUAACUUCAGGAAACUGGGGCUAAUACCGGGUAGGAGCUCCUGCUGCAUGGUGUGGGUUGGAAAGUUUCGGCGGUUGGGGAUGUACUCGCGGUUUCUCAGCUUGUUGGUGGGGUAGUGGCUUACCAAGGCUGUGACGGGUAGCCGGCCUGAGAGGGUGACCGGCCACAUUGGGACUGAGAUACGGCCCAGACUGCUACGGGAGGCAGCAGUGGGGAAUAUUGCACGAUGGGCGGAAGCCUGAUGCAGCAACGCCGCGUGCGGGAUGACGGCCUUCGGGUUGUAAACCGCUUUCGCCUGUGACGAAGCGUGAGUGACGGUAAUGGGUAAAGAAGCACCGGCUAACUACGUG
Molecule: ribosomal RNA, 468 nt
Filed under: uncultured bacterium
Lineage: Bacteria
Description: partial 16S ribosomal RNA
Rfam family: Bacterial small subunit ribosomal RNA
Source: RNAcentral